AUUGAACGCUGGCGGAAUGCUUUACACAUGCAAGUCGAACGGCAGCACGGACUUCGGUCUGGUGGCGAGUGGCGAACGGGUGAGUAAUGUAUCGGAACGUGCCCAGUCGUGGGGGAUAACGUGGUGAAAAUUACGCUAAUACCGCAUACGAACUAUGGAUGAAAGCGGGGGAUCGCAAGACCUCGCGCGAUUGGAGCGGCCGAUAUCAGAUUAGGUAGUUGGUGGGGUAAAGGCCCACCAAGCCAACGAUCUGUAGCUGGUCUGAGAGGACGACCAGCCACACUGGAACUGAGACACGGUCCAGACUCCUACGGGAGGCAGCAGUGGGGAAUUUUGGACAAUGGGCGAAAGCCUGAUCCAGCCAUUCCGCGUGCAGGAUGAAGGCCCUCGGGUUGUAAACUGCUUUUGUACAGAACGAAAAGGUUUCUACUAAUACUAGGAGCUCAUGACGGUACUGUAAGAAUAAGCACCGGCUAACUACGUGCCAGCCGCCGCAGUAA
RNAcentral lists this ribosomal RNA (500 nucleotides) under uncultured bacterium. RNAcentral describes it as "partial 16S ribosomal RNA". It matches the Rfam family "Bacterial small subunit ribosomal RNA", at positions 30 to 523 of the family's 1533-position model. The record is from RNAcentral.